RNAcentral lists this transfer RNA (77 nucleotides) under Oceanirhabdus seepicola. RNAcentral's name for it is "tRNA-Asp". It matches the Rfam family "tRNA". Rfam says of the family: Transfer RNA (tRNA) molecules are approximately 80 nucleotides in length. Their secondary structure includes four short double-helical elements and three loops (D, anti-codon, and T loops). The record is from RNAcentral. Lineage: Bacteria; Bacillati; Bacillota; Clostridia; Eubacteriales; Clostridiaceae.
GGCCCAGUGGCUCAGUUGGUUAGAGUGCCGGCCUGUCACGCCGGAGGUCGAGGGUUCGAAUCCCUUCUGGGUCGCCA